UCUUCCCGUCAAACUGACCCAUAGGGCCGAAAAAAGGUCUUCUGCCGCUUCCGACCUGCGCUGCAGCUACGAGAAUCUCCAUGACGCUCAGCUUCACCGAUUAAAAGAGGGGUAGGGAUAGGUUUCCGGCCGACCCCCCUUCCUCUGUUGCACCGUGAGUUAUCAAGAUUCCGCACCUCACGUGCAACAAAGAGAGAGUGAGCUUCUUCUGGUAUGGCGGGAGCAACCGAAAGGGGGGCACAGAUUAGCGGAAAGAGGAUCAAUUGACCUUCUACACGCGCACAUCCACAAGGUUCAGAAUCACGGUACCAACAUCAAUCGCAUUUUCGACGCUUGUAUCUCUGUAUAUCUGCGUCUUGCCUUGCCAGCACUUUGUCUUUCACGCGGUGAAAGUGCUGGUCUUAGAUCAAGCAGACUUCAUCCCGGAAAAUAGUGGUAUUGACAAGCACAUGUACGCAUGAGCCUAUAGGAGAAGCGAGCUCACGCUUGUGACACAGAAACAGACGAACUCAUGCAGAAAGCACAUGCGAGAAUCAUGGACCUGCUUUUCUCAGCUAUUUCAUGAAAAAAGGAACCACAGUUUUGCGAAGUGCAGCCACUUUGAAAAGCAUAUCGGGAACUGCUUGGAGGAAGAAAUGGCAGCGAUGAAGGGGCCAAGGGAGGAUCAUUUCCUCGGCGCUCACAUUGCUUUUGCGUAGAUCAACUUUAGGAUAGAAAGCAUCUUCGGCUUGGAUAAGCGCUGAGAACGCCCUUCAACAGAAAGCCAUUGUUGUCCGCAUUCGCUUAGCAUUAUGGUCCCUUCAGCUGGCUGUCACCUCUACUGAAAUUGUUCGGGCCUUAAACUCUCUAUGCCUCCUCAACUUGACUGCCGACCAGUGACGUAUGACUGCAUGCUUUCCCUCACGCUGUCUCAUGCCUAUCUUUUCCUUGGUACUCCUUAACAG
Molecule: unclassified non-coding RNA, 944 nt
Filed under: Leishmania donovani
Lineage: Eukaryota; Euglenozoa; Kinetoplastea; Trypanosomatida; Trypanosomatidae
Description: gene:unknown
Source: RNAcentral